This 783-nucleotide long non-coding RNA is filed under the name Citrus sinensis (sweet orange). RNAcentral describes it as "long non-coding RNA (CSIN_LNC001393)". Lineage: Eukaryota; Viridiplantae; Streptophyta; Magnoliopsida; Sapindales; Rutaceae. The record is from RNAcentral.
AACAACAAACACCAAAGCAAAAAAUUAAAACUUCCAUCAGUCAAAUUUUUUAGCCUUUCUCCUUUUCUUGAUAAGAUUUUUAAAAAAAAAAAUUUUAUUACUAUUAUUACUUUUUUGGUGGUGAGGAGUUUUCAAAUUGAACAUUAGCCAUCCCAUUUCACCUAUGGAUGUGGACUACAGGAAGUUGAUCCUAUCUCCUAAUGAAGAAAAGCCUUCCCAACAGCGAAAAUGAAGCUCAUUGGCAGGUGGUGAGGAGUCUUCAAAUUGAACAUUAGCCAUCCCAUUUCACCUAUGGAUGUGGACUACAGGAAGUUGAUCCUAUCUCCUAAUGAAGAAAAGCCUUCCCAACGGCGAAAAUGAAGCUCAUUGGCAGGUAUAAACACUUAAGUCAACAACAUAAGAGGUUCAAGCCCCAUUGUUAAAAUCAAUUUAUGUCUAUCAAGUGAUGGAGAAAUCUACAGAUGAUAUCCCUCGAUUAGAUGACAGACGAGCUCUAUCAUCAUAACGAGCAGAAUCAAGUAACUAUCACCAUGAGUCAAGAAACAAAGUUUAGGUGACUUCAGGUCAUGCCAACAGCAUAGCAUCCUGCAGACGGAUCCCAUUAUCACUAAGAUUUUCUUCAACUGGCUAAAAAUUACGGCUUUGCUGAUUUGAGCAGAUAGAAGCAGGCAAAUAAUGACAGUUGGCCGACAAUCGAAAGAAAAAAUUAGCGUUAACCAUUUGAAUUUUCAUGCAUCAUCAACAGGCUAUCUCAGAAGCAGAAAUCGGAAGCACCAAUUGUUC